GAUGAAGAACGCAGCGAAAUGCGAUAAGUAAUGUGAAUUGCAGAAUUCAGUGAAUCAUCGAAUCUUUGAACGCACAUUGCGCCCGCCAGUAUUCUGGCGGGCAUGCCUGUUCGAGCGUCAUUUCAACCAUCAAGCCCCCGGCUUGUGUUGGGGACCUGCGGCUGCCGCAGGCCCUGAAAACCAGUGGCGGGCUCGCUGUCACACCGAGCGUAGUAGAUUUUCAUCUCGCUCAGGGCGUGCUGCGGGUUCCGGCCGUAAAAAGCCUUAUUUACCCAAGGUUGACCUCGGAUCAGGUAGGAAGACCCGCUGAACUUAAGCAUAUCAAUGAGCGGAGGA
Molecule: unclassified non-coding RNA, 336 nt
Filed under: soil metagenome
Description: partial contains 5.8S ribosomal RNA, internal transcribed spacer 2, and large subunit ribosomal RNA
Rfam family: 5.8S ribosomal RNA (bases 1-120)
Source: RNAcentral